RNAcentral lists this transfer RNA (77 nucleotides) under bacterium. RNAcentral describes it as "tRNA-Pro". It matches the Rfam family "tRNA". From Rfam's summary of the family: Transfer RNA (tRNA) molecules are approximately 80 nucleotides in length. The record is from RNAcentral. RNAcentral also lists the same sequence under 8 other names.
CGGGGCGUAGCGCAGUUUGGAAGCGCACCUGAAUGGGGUUCAGGGGGUCGGAGGUUCAAGUCCUCUCGCCCCGACCA